UCUCAUAAUGUAAAAUGAUGUUGGGCGCCUGGGGGACGCAGGUUAAGCAUCUGCCUUUGGCUCAGGUCAUGAUGUCAGGGUCCUGGAAUGG
Molecule: long non-coding RNA, 91 nt
Organism: Mustela erminea (ermine)
Lineage: Eukaryota; Metazoa; Chordata; Mammalia; Carnivora; Mustelidae
Exons: 3
Source: RefSeq, a predicted model, not a curated record